Molecule: long non-coding RNA, 4976 nt
Organism: Anopheles coluzzii
Lineage: Eukaryota; Metazoa; Arthropoda; Insecta; Diptera; Culicidae
Exons: 3
Source: RefSeq, a predicted model, not a curated record
AGCGGGUGCCCAACCGGCAUUAUCGCGCGAUUUUUAUGUGUAUCUAUCAUUUUUCUCAUUCUAACAUUCAAAAAAAUUUUCAUUCUGUCUUGCUCUUCUGGGUGUUGGUCAGUUUUUGCUCGCAACUUGGCUGUGUCACACCAACCAUCCUCAUGUUUCAUAUGGUUCUUCUCUUUCCAUCGUUAGAGAGAAACUCUUGCGUCUCGCUUUUCUGGGACUUGUCCAAUUUCGCUUGCUACACCAAGCGUUCACGCAAGCGAUCUUCUCUCGUCCGCUCUUUGUAUCAUCUUGCAGGUACUCCCCGAUAUACGCUAUUAAUGCGGACCGGAGGCAAUAGCGUAUCUCGAAUAUUAGCAAAUGUCGAGUUUUCAGUCAAAUUAUAGCUAAUUUUCGUAUAAUUUUGCUUGAAGUGGUAGGAUUUACCACUUAAUUAGUUAUUUGAUCUGAUUCAACUGAAGAUUACAAUUGUACACCUUUUGAAAUGGCUUUUAAUAUUCGAUCAAAAGGGAAUUUAUUUUGAAUUUGAUAUUCGAUGUGUCAAAUUAGUACAAUUUGCUCAAAGAACUUUCAAAUUUAGAAAAAAAGCUUAUAGCGAAAUCGCGUAUAUCGAGUAUGGCGUAUAUCGGGGAAUACCUGUAUAGCCACCAGAGGAAGGCGCUGCUUCGCGUUCACAUGAAAAUGUGGUAGUGUGAAAUCAAGUUUGCAAGCGGUAGGCUACGUCGAUGCGUGCCCGUUUUUUUCUCUCGUGAAACCAGUACGGAAAAACUAUUUGGUAAGUACAGCUUUUAAUAAAGGAUUAUAUCAAUCUGUAUCAAACUGAAUGGUAUUAAUAAUUGGUGAUAUCAAAUCAAUUUCGUUUUCUAUAGCAAAUCGUAACACACGCACAAACUGAAGUGAGCACGGACCACGAUAGAAAUAAUUAAUUGGUUGGUAAGUAUCAUGCUUCGCGUUAAAUGGAACAGCGGUUUUCAAAAUAGAUAAUAUUUCCCUCUUUCACCAGCAGUGCCAAAAACAAAAGGACAGGAGAGGCAGGAACGAUCAUUCAACGCGUUAGCGCCGGACGAAGGAGAAGCGGCAGGAAGGCAGGAACGAUCCUCCAACGUGCUCGCGCUCCAACGUGCUCGCGAAGGCAGGAACGCGCCUGGUAGAGGAGAGGCGGCAGGAAGGUAGGGACGAUCAUCCAGCACGCUAGCGCAGCACCUGGGAACAGCGAGGGGGAGGCAAGCAGGAAUAAUUUUUAACGCGUACACACCAUUCGACGAAGACAACGCUGGAUGAAAGGAAGAACGAGGAGAGAAGGCAGGCAAGACGGGUACGUGUGUAUCCCGCAACGAGUUUUCGGCAGUGUGAAAUGUGAGUAUUGAAAAGUAUAUGUGUGAGUAGAGGUAAAGAGGUAAAAUAAAGAGCGAAUGUGUGGAAUGGGAAAAUGAAAGAGAGUCUGUGUUUGUUUUGGGAGAGAGGAGAGAAUGAAAGAAAUUGAACAAUAAUGUAGCAUACAGAAACCACAUGUAUGAUACACGCUGUCGCACGAUUUCAAAAACCUUCUCUAUAUCCCAACCAGCAUUAUCGCGCGAUUUUUAUGUGUAUCUAUCAUUUUUCUCAUUCUAACAUUCACAAAAUUUUUCAUUCUGCCUCGCUCUUCUGGGUGUUGGUCUGUAUUCCCAACCAGCAUUAUCGCGCGAUUUUUAUGUGUAUCUAUCAUUUUUCUCAUUCUAACAUUCACAAAAUUUUUCAUUCUGCCUCGCUCUUCUGGGUGUUGGUCUGUAUUUGCUUGCGACUUGGCUGUGUCGCAUCAACGAUUCGCAUGUUUCAUUUAGCUCAUCCCUUUCCAUCGUUGGAGAGAAACUCUUGCGUCUCGCUUUUCUGGGACUUGUCCAAAUUCGCUUGCUACACCAAUCGUUCACGCAAGCGUUCUCCUCUCGCCCGCUCUUUGUAUCAUUGUACAGGUACUCCCCGAUAUACGCUAUCAAUGCGGACCGGAGGCAAUAGCGUAUCUCGAAUAUUCAAUAGCGAAAGUCGAAUUUCGAGGUUUUCAGUCAAGUUAUAACUAAUAUCCGUAGAACUUUGCAUGAAGUGGUAGGUUUUAGCCACUAAACCUACCACUACCGAAUGGUUAAAAACCAUUUCAAAUGGUAUAAAAUUGAAAAAUUCAGUUGAAAUUAGAUCAAAUAACUAAUACGCUUACGUAAAUUUGACGGUUCUUUGAACAAGUAGUACUAAUUUUAGAAAUCGAAUGUCAAAUGCAAAAUAAAUUCCCUUUUGGUUGAAUAUUAAAAACCAUUUCAAAUGGUAUAAAAUUGAAAAAUUCAGUUGAAAUUAGAUCAAAUAACUAAAUCAACUAACUAACCAAAUAGUUAUUUGAUCUAAUUUCAACUGAAUUUUUCAAUUUUAUACCAUUUGAAAUGGUUUUUAAUAUUCAACCAAAAGGGAAUUUAUUUUGCAUUUGACAUUCGAUUUCUAAAAUUAGUACUACUUGUUCAAAGAACCGUCAAAUUUAGAAAAAAAGCGUAUAGCGAAAUCGUGUAUAUCGAGUAUGGCGUAUAUCGGGGAAUACCUGUAUAGCCACACGAGGAAGGCGCUGCUUCGCGUUCACAUGAAAAUGUGGUAGUGUGAAAUCAAGUUUGCAAGCGGUAGGACGCGUCGGUGUGUGUUCGUUUUUUCUCUCGUGAAACCAGUACGGAAAAACUAUUUGGUAAGUACAGUUUUUAAUAAAGGGUUAUUUCAAUCUUUAUCAAACUGAAUUGUAUUGAUAAUUGUGAUAUAAAAUUAAUUUCGUUUUUUAAAGAAAUCGUAACACACGCACGAACGGAAGUGAGCACGGACCACAACAGAAGCAAUAUUCAAUUGGUUGGAGUGCCGAAAACAGAACAGGAGAGGAAAGAAGGCAGGAACGAUUCGAUCCUCCAACGUGCUAGCGCCUGGUAGAGGAGAAGCGGCAGGAAGGUAGAGACGAACAUCCAGCUCGCUAGUGCAGCGCGUGGGAGCAGCAAGAGGGAAGCAAGCAGGACGCGUACACACCAUUCGACGAAGGCAAAGCUGGAGGAAAGGAAGAACGAGGAGAGAAGGCAGGCAAGACGGGUACGUGUGUAUCCCGCACCGGUUUUAGGCAGUGUGAAUUGUGUGAGUAUGUAAAUAUGUAUGUGCGAGUAAGAAGGUAAAAUAAAGAGCGUAAGCAUGUGCAGAAUGGACAAAAGAGAGUAAGAGUCUUUGUAGGGAGAAUGGAGAGAAUGAAAGAAAUUGAACAAUAAUGUAGCAUACAGAAACUAGAUGUAUGAUACACGCUGUCGCACCGUUGCAGAGACGUGCUCUUUAGUGCUGCUAAUGAGCACGAUUUGAGAACGUUUUGAGCCCGUUUUUUCUCAUACAAAAUUUUAAAAUGUCGCGCGAUAAUGUCGGUUGGGUAGUUCUGCUAUCGAGAACGAUUUGACCGCGCUAUAGAGAACACUUUUUCUAUACAAAAAAAACCGCUUGCAACGUGACAAUGUUGGUUGGGUGAGAGGAGAACGCUUGCGUGAACGAUUGGUGUAGCAAGCGAAAUUGAAUAAGUCCCAGAAAAGCGAGACGCAAGAGUUUCUCUCCAACGAUGGAAAGGGAUGAGCUAAAUGAAACAUGCGAAUCGUUGAUGCGACACAGCCAAGUCGCAAGCAAAUACAGACCAACACCCAGAAGAGCGAGGCAGAAUGAAAAAUUUUGUGAAUGUUAGAAUGAGAAAAAUGAUAGAUACACAUAAAAAUCGCGCGAUAAUGCCGGUUGGGUGAUGAACGCACCAUCCCCCAGGACAAUCGCAUGGCAAUCGGAUUGAACGCGCAACAUUUUCCAUACAAUCCGCAGUGUUGCGUUUUCUUCGCGCAAACUUUGCCUGUAUUUUCAAUGAGCCAAGCGAUUUUACCCCCUCCUACACGCGAUGUAUCCUAAAGCACGCUUGUCGCGGCAACGUUCACCACAUACACACACACAUCUCCACACUCAGGGUACGACAUCUUCCCUGUUGCUGUUCUGGACUCAGACAAAAUUUGUGUUUCUACACUUAUUGUUCAAAAAAGUAGUAGCUCCUAGGAUCUGAAUUUACAAACAAAUAUCAAAAUAUUAUGUUCUGCUAAUGAUAUUGCACUAAAUUUAAUUGCACUACAUUAAGUUUUUACAUAUCUUUCGUAAAAGUUCGUCAGAGUAUGAAAAUGUCGAUACAAUUUGUCAUGAAUAACUUAAAUUUUAAGAUUUUCGCGCAUAAAAUUAUGACGCGCGCUGUGUGUGCGGCGGCGUAAUUCGCUACUCGUAUAGCCGUCUCGCUUCUUCUUGUGUGUGCUUUACCGUUGCUCACCGCUUCAAGAACAUUGCUGCUCACACACACGUCAGUCUGUGGUAAACAAUUGGAGGGGGAGGAUGUGUCGGUUUGCUCCAGAAAUCGUGUGUGAUUUUGGUGUUCUGGAUUUGGUUCCAUCCCUGUUUGUUUUGGUGAAAUUGAAAAGGUAAGACUCAUAGACCGAUGUAAAAGUGUGAGAGUAAAGUGAUGUUGAUGGUGACUGAUUAUUUUCUUUGUUUCUUUUCCUGCUUUCAUCCACUGAUGGUGUCGAGCAUCGCCGAGGAUGUGAUCGAAUGCGGAAUAUUCGAAACGAGGAGAUUCAUUCCGGAUUUUGUUUGCAAUAAGGUAAGUUAUGAAAACACACAAAGCAUACGAAAAAAGAGUGAGUAAUCUUAUUCUUAACUUUCAUUUCUUCAACAGCGCUGAACUAAUCCUCCAGCUUACAGGACGGCAAAGGUACACGCACAAACGUGCACACAUCAGCCUUCUCGGAGAACGAGAACACGGGAGGGGGAGACCGGCAACGUAUAGAACCUUUACGCUCCCUCGUGCGUUCGUGCGUGCGUGCGCGCGCGCGUCUAUGUGUGUGUAUGUGUGUGCAUGCCUGCGUGCGUGGCUGUGUGUGUUUUUGCCGCUUCGCAUAACGAGAUCCUACGGGAUCACCUUGCGAAAAACA